AAUCAACGCUGGCGGCGUGCCUAACACAUGCAAGUCGAACGAGAAAGUCCCCGCAAGGGGAUGAGUACAGUGGCGACCGGGUGAGUAACACGUGACUAACCUACCCUGAAGCGGGGAAUAACCUCGGGAAACCGGGGCUAAUACCGCAUACCUUCCAGAGGGGAAGCUCCUUUGGAGGAAACGAGCAAUCGGCUUUAGGAGGGGGUCGCGCCCGAUUACGGUAGUUGGCGGGGUAACGGCCCACCAAGCCUUUGGUCGGUAGCCGGCCUGAGAGGGCGCACGGCCACACUGGAACUGAAACACGGUCCAGACUCCUACGGGAGGCAGCAGUGGGGAAUUUUGCGCAAUGGGGGAAACCCUGACGCAGCAACGCCGCGUGGAGGAUGAAGUCCCUUGGGACGUAAACUCCUUUCGACCGGGACGAUAAUGACGGUACCGGUGGAAGAAGCCCCGGCUAACUCCGUGC
RNAcentral lists this ribosomal RNA (466 nucleotides) under uncultured bacterium. RNAcentral describes it as "bacterial SSU rRNA". It matches the Rfam family "Bacterial small subunit ribosomal RNA", at positions 32 to 508 of the family's 1533-position model. The record is from RNAcentral.